AAAAUAGACAAGUUUUGACUUCGAAUCAAAUAAUGAUUAAUAUCCUAUUUUA
Molecule: transfer RNA, 52 nt
Filed under: Metacrangonyx goulmimensis
Lineage: Eukaryota; Metazoa; Arthropoda; Malacostraca; Amphipoda; Metacrangonyctidae
Description: transfer RNA Arginine
Source: RNAcentral